AGAGUUUGAUCAUGGCUCAGAACGAACGUUGGCGGCGUGGAUUAGGCAUGCAAGUCGAACGAAUCCCAAGGGGCUUGCUCUUUGGGGGAAGUGGCGAAAGGGGCAGUAAUGCGUAGGUAACCUACCUCGGGGACGGGGAUAGCCUUCCUAACGGAUGGAUAAUACCCGGCGAUCUGGCGAUGAGGCAUCUUGUUGCCAGGAGAUGAAUUUCGCCUCGAGAGGGACUUACGUCGUAUUAGCUAGUUGGCGGGGUAACGGCCCACCAAGGCAAAGAUGCGUAGCGGGUGUGAGAGCACGACCCGCGCCACUGGCACUGAGACACUGGCCAGACUCCUACGGGAGGCUGCAGUCGAGGAUCCUCGGCAAUGGGCGCAAGCCUGCCGAGCGACGCCGCGUGCGCGAUGAAGGCCUUCGGGUUGUAAAGCGCUGUCGAGGGGGAGGAAGCCGCAAGGUUGACCGAUCCCUGGAGGAAGCACGGGCUAAGUUCGUGCCAGCAGCCGCGGUAAGACGAACCGUGCGAACGUUGUUCGGAAUCACUGGGCUUAAAGGGCGCGUAGGCGGGCGAUCAAGUCUGUGGUGAAAUCCUUCGGCUCAACCGGAGAACUGCCGUGGAUACUGGUCGUCUGGAGGGAGGUAGGGGCAGCGGGAACUUCCGGUGGAGCGGUGAAAUGCGUAGAGAUCGGAAGGAACGCCGGUGGCGAAANNNCGCUGCUGGACCUCUUCUGACGCUGAGGCGCGAAAGCUAGGGGAGCAAACGGGAUUAGAUACCCUAGUAGUCC
Molecule: ribosomal RNA, 779 nt
Filed under: uncultured bacterium
Lineage: Bacteria
Description: bacterial SSU rRNA
Rfam family: Bacterial small subunit ribosomal RNA
Source: RNAcentral